CUAUACUGAUCAAAUAUCUUGGUGUUUUGAGUCCGAGUCAAAUGACGAUUACAGGCCCCGAUCUCCCUUUUCUCAACCUCUUUAUCCUACCAAAAGAUGGACCGUCGGCCAGCAGAUUUCAAAGGUUAUGAUCCUUUUAAUUCUAAACCAUUUGUUCUAUUAACAUCCUACUGUUAUCAACUAAACUGCCUAACCAUAAGUCUAAUUCUUAAGGUUAUUAAUAACCAA
This 228-nucleotide long non-coding RNA is filed under the name Physcomitrium patens. Its description in RNAcentral is "long non-coding RNA (PPAT_LNC000120)". The record is from RNAcentral. Lineage: Eukaryota; Viridiplantae; Streptophyta; Bryopsida; Funariales; Funariaceae.